CUUGGUGAUUUGAGCGCUGUGGUACCACCUAAUUCCAUUCCGAACUUAGAAGUGAAACGCAGCAGCGCCGACGAUAGCUACCCGGCAACGGGUCGUGAAAAUAGGUCAUUGCCAUGC
This 117-nucleotide ribosomal RNA is filed under the name Candidatus Woesebacteria bacterium RIFCSPHIGHO2_01_FULL_44_21. RNAcentral also lists the same sequence under 1 other name. Lineage: Bacteria; Candidatus Woeseibacteriota. The record is from RNAcentral.